This 497-nucleotide ribosomal RNA is filed under the name uncultured bacterium. RNAcentral's name for it is "partial 16S ribosomal RNA". It matches the Rfam family "Bacterial small subunit ribosomal RNA", at positions 28 to 507 of the family's 1533-position model. The record is from RNAcentral.
GAUGAACGCUGGCGGCGUGCCUAAUACAUGCAAGUCGAGCGAACGGACGAGAAGCUUGCUUCUCUGAUGUUAGCGGCGGACGGGUGAGUAACACGUGGAUAACCUACCUAUAAGACUGGGAUAACUUUGGGAAACCGGAGCUAAUACCGGAUAAUAUUUUGAACCGCAUGGUUCAAAAGUGAAAGACGGUCUUGCUGUCACUUAUAGAUGGAUCCGCGCUGCAUUAGCUAGUUGGUAAGGUAACGGCUUACCAAGGCAACGAUGCAUAGCCGACCUGAGAGGGUGAUCGGCCACACUGGAACUGAGACACGGUCCAGACUCCUACGGGAGGCAGCAGUAGGGAAUCUUCCGCAAAGGGCGAAAGCCUGACGGAGCAACGCCGCGUGAGUGAUGAAGGUCUUCGGAUCGUAAAACUCUGUUAUUAGGGAAGAACAUAUGUGUAAGUAACUGUGCACAUCUUGACGGUACCUAAUCAGAAAGCCACGGCUAACUACGUG